GUGCCAGCAGCCGCGGUAAUACGUAGGAUGCAAGCGUUGUCCGGAAUUACUGGGCGUAAAGAGCGCGCAGGCGGCCCUUUAAGUUGGGCGUGAAAUCUCUCGGCUUAACCGGGAGCGGUCGUCCAAAACUGGAGAGCUAACGAGGGUAGGAGAGGAAAGUGGAAUUCCCGGUGUAGUGGUGAAAUGCGUAGAUAUCGGGAGGAACACCCGUGGCGAAGGCGACUUUCUGGCCUACUCCUGACGCUGAGGCGCGAAGGCUAGGGUAGCGAACGGGAUUAGAUACCCCGGUAGUCCUAGCAGUAAACGAUGGAUACUAGGUGUUGGUGGUAUUGACCCCACCAGUGCCGAAGCUAACGCAUUAAGUAUCCCGCCUGGGGAGUACGACCGCAAGGUUAAA
This 397-nucleotide ribosomal RNA is filed under the name uncultured bacterium. Its description in RNAcentral is "bacterial SSU rRNA". It matches the Rfam family "Bacterial small subunit ribosomal RNA", at positions 505 to 898 of the family's 1533-position model. The record is from RNAcentral.